AUGUGGAGACGAUGGGCUGGGGAGUAGAGGCUACUGCCUUUAGACCCUGCCGGGCUGGGUGUCCCAGAGGGUGACGGCCCCCGGGGCCCUUGGGGAAGUCCCAAAGGGGCUGCUGUUCCCCUGUGUAGAUUAAUAGAAGCCCGGACGUUUGCAUCAGACCACCGCUGUGAGUGCCUGCGUGGUGACCAAAAGGACGAGGGCUUUCGGGGCUUUCGCUGACCACUGAGAGCCUGUGGAUGUGCAGGCCACUGUGCUCAUGGGCCAGGACAAUUCCUAAGGCAGGGUUUUCUGGCUCUUUUCUACAGAGGAGGAAACUGAGCCUCCGUGGAGGUAAGUGACUUGUCCAAGGUAUAAGGUCCAAGCUGCAAAGUGGCUGCAACGGGAUGAAGUCAGAUGUGGCUGAAUUCAAAGCCCAGAUGGCUUUCAUUGCCCUCUGUUGCUUCCAGAAAGGCGUGUGCUCACAGGGCAUCUCUGGGAGGUGUUAAGCUGGCAGUGUUUUGUCUGCACCCGGAGAAAGACAAGGGGUUUUUAAACAAAUAUAUACAUUCUCCAAAAUCCCAGCGAUUGUAUUUCUCCAUUGAUCCGUUAUGACGUUGAGUAAGUAUAAAGCUUCCCUGGUGCCUGCGGGGGGAUUACAGAAUGAGCAGGCUGUGCAGGGGAAGGAGAGGGAGGGCAGCGGAAAUUGUCCCAGUGGGGGCCGGGGCUCGGCCGGGGCUCUGAGGACCUGACAAAGGGGCUAAUUUGUGGAAGGGAGAGAGAUUACUUCUUGCCGGGGGAGUCACAGGAAGCCUGGUGAUGCCCGAGUAUCACCCCUUCAGUAGAGCCUUGCUGACUGCCUCUCCAGCCCCACGGGGUGGGGUGGGGGGGUGACAGACAGCUAGCCCCCCUCUUUGUUUCCACUUGGCUGUGUUGGGAUAUCUAGCACAGCGCCGGGAACUCUGACAGGCCUUUAUCUGCCACAGAUUCCUCUUCCCCACUGGACCGUGAACUUGGUGGAAACAGCGACCCAGAGGAGCUCCGGGUCCCCAGCGGCCGUCCCCCCAGCCCGUAUCCCGUCUGGCAGGGCCAGUUUCCAGUGAAACGCUCAUUCGGGGGUCUCUGCAGGGAACACAUGGCAGAUGGCAUUUAGUGGACUUUGGGAAAACGCCUCAGUUUCCCCAUCUCUGAAAUAAAGGGGUCAGUGAACCGUGCAGUCAGAGUACUUGGAACACGGUGAAUAUGCUCGGUAAUGUGAGCUCCUGUGACUCUUAGGACCAUCACCUUUGUAUCACUGCCAUCAGGGACACCGUCGCCCUCUCCAGGCCUGGGCGCCAUGCAGAUGAUUGGCCACAGAAUCCUCGCACGCUGCGUUAUGAAAGGAUAGAAGACGGUGAUUUUGGGUGCAAAAGGCUAGUCGUGACCUGUGUGAGCUCUUUCUUUCUUUCUUUCUUUCUUAAUUCUCCCAACUAUGUCCUUUUACACCCCGUGUCCCUGCCGUGAUAUAUUUGAAGAUUUCGGGGACCAGAGCUUGGUCGCAUCAGAGUGUUAACUCUUCUCUUUUCUCUCUGUGUGUCUGCUCUGUCUGGAAAGAUCUUUCUGUGGUGAGGCUUCUCCCCUACCUCCAGGUUGACUCAGUGCCUGAUUCCAGGCCCUCACAGGCCUUGGACCGAGCUAGGCAACCCCCUUCAAGUUUCCCUACCUGCUGAGUCCCUGCUCUGUCUGCCCAUUUGAGCAGUGUUUUGGGGGUGCUCAAUUUAUUUUAUUCCAGAACUUUUUACCACUUCUCUGUGAGUCUUAGCGUCCCCAAGGAUAGAAUGGGAAUAUCUUAUAGCUUGAAUGUCAAGAUGAAGUGAGAUGGUGACUGAGAUACACUGUGUCCCAACAGUCAGCAAAUCUCAGCGCUCUGUCCUCACCUGAGUGUGAACUCCCCAAGGGCAAAAGCUCUCAGAUUCAUCUUCAGAGAUCUACAACUGGGACGUCCAACAUGGUAGCCGUGGACCACGUGCGGCUGUUGAGCACUUGAACUGUGCCUAGUCCGGCCGAGCUGAGCUGCAGGUGUGAAAUGCACACUGGGUUUUGAAAGCCUAGGAUGAAAAGAAAGAUGUCAAAUAACUGGUGAAUGUUUUUAUCUUGAUGACAUGUUGAAAUGAUCAUACGUUGGCUAUACGGAGUUAAAAUAAAAUGAAUGACGAGGUCAGUAAAUAGGAUUUAUAUUUUUUAUGAAAAUAAAUAUGUGACGUAUGUUAAAAGACUUACACCAUUCCAUAACAACAAUAAUUAUUAAAGAAUGUAAUUAUUACAUAAAUUGA
This is a long non-coding RNA of Lynx canadensis (Canada lynx), 2288 nucleotides long. RefSeq lists it as uncharacterized. The transcript has 2 exons. The record is from RefSeq and is a predicted model, not a curated record. NCBI's taxonomy places the organism in Eukaryota, Metazoa, Chordata, Mammalia, Carnivora, Felidae.